Long non-coding RNA from Neofelis nebulosa (Clouded leopard), 1031 nucleotides. RefSeq lists it as uncharacterized. The transcript is spliced from 2 exons. NCBI's taxonomy places the organism in Eukaryota, Metazoa, Chordata, Mammalia, Carnivora, Felidae. The record is from RefSeq and is a predicted model, not a curated record.
CACCAAGCAUAAACUGUGAGUUCCUUAAGGACAAGCACUUUUAUUUCUAUAGCUUCCUUGAGGCUAACAAAGAUCUUGUACAAACUAAGUGCUUAGGAUAGAUAGAUAGAUAGAUAGAUGAAUUAAUUAAAACAGGUUAGAGGAACAGGCAUAAAAGAUUAACCCCAGGAGGUAACCAGAAAGGGACAGUAAGUCAUCUGUUGUGUUACUCUCCCUUUAAAUACACCCUCACCAUCCAAUCGAUCCCCAACUCUUCUUGAGCCUGUUCCGAACUCCAAGAGGCUGACCUCUUAAGAACUGCAUUACCUAAGCCAUGUCGUUGGCAUUCCAGUGGGAGUUCCAAUGGAAGGCACCAGCAGAAAGACAGCACCAUGAGUGACUCCAGUAGCUGCAUUCCUCUAUGGCAGAGUUCCUGCCAGGUAACCCCUCCCUCAUCCCAGGCUCCAGCUCUCCCCGUGUGGGGUACACCACUUCUUCCCCUGGCCCUUUAAGCCUAGGGGUAAUAUCUUCCUGCUGUUGCUAGUCUCAGGUUGCUUCACCAUCCCUUCUUGGUUCCCUCAACCCUGCUCCCAUUCUAUAAAUGUCCCUUGACUAGGGGCGCCUGGAUGGCUCAGUCGGUUAAGUGUCUGACCGGCUCAGGUCAUGAUCUCACGGUCUGUGAGUUCGAGCCCCGCAUCGGGCUCUGUGCUGACAGCUCGGAGCCUGGAGCCUGCUUCAGAUUCUAUGUCUCCCUCUCUCUCUGACUCCCCCACUCACUCUCUCUCUCUGUCUCAAAAAUAAAUAAACAUAAAAAAAAUUUUUUAAAAUAAUAAAAAUAAAUGUCCCUUGACUAAAUUCUCUUUGGCCACACCCCCUGAGCCCACUGUUUCUUGCCAGAACCCUGAUCCAUACAUCUAUCAUUCAAAGCAAGACAGGCCAUCAAAGCCAGGCAAAGGGCCAGUGACAGGAAUACAAGACAAGGUGACUGAAUCAACAGCUGGGUACAGUUAAGGAGCACAGGGAGUAACAGGGUUGUCUAGGUUCUUGUGCAU